This 257-nucleotide ribosomal RNA is filed under the name uncultured bacterium. Its description in RNAcentral is "partial 16S ribosomal RNA". It matches the Rfam family "Bacterial small subunit ribosomal RNA", at positions 524 to 780 of the family's 1533-position model. The record is from RNAcentral.
UACAGAGACUGCAAGCGUUGUUCGGAUUCACUGGGCGUAAAGGGUGCGCAGGCGGCCGGGUGUGUCGGGUGUGAAAGCUCGAGGCUUAACCUCGAAACUGCGCCGAACUAUCCGGCUAGAGUACUGAGAGGAGGCGGAAUUCACGGUGUAGCAGUGAAAUAGCGUGGAUAUCGUGAGGAACACCCAAUGGCGAAGGCAGCCUCCUGGACAGUUACUGACGCUCAGGCACGAAAAGCGUGGGGGAGCAAAAACGGGGA